Molecule: ribosomal RNA, 916 nt
Filed under: uncultured archaeon
Lineage: Archaea
Description: bacterial SSU rRNA
Rfam family: Archaeal small subunit ribosomal RNA
Source: RNAcentral
UUCCGGUUGAUCCCGCCGCCGGCCACUGCUAUCAGGUUCCGACUAAGCCAUGCAAGUUAAGGGGUCGUAGGACACCAGCGAACCGCUCAGUAACACGCGGAUAAUCUAACCCCAAGUGGAGUAUAGCCUCGGGAAACUGAGGGUAAUUCCCCAUAGCCAUUAUAUGCUGGAAUGCUUUGAUGGUGAAAGCUUCGGCGCUUGAGGAUGAGUCUGCGGCCUAUCAGGUAGUAUGUGGUGUAAAGGACCACAUAGCCGAGGACGGGUACGGGCCUUGAAAGAGGGAGCCCGGAGAUGGACUCUGAGACAUUAGUCCAGGCCCUACGGGGCGCAGCAGGCGCGAAAACUGUGCAAUGCGCGAAAGCGCGACACGGGGAACCUGAGUGCCUUGACACAGUCAAGGCUUUUAUCAAGCCUAAAAAGCUUGAUGAAUAAGAGCUGGGUAAGACGGGUGCCAGCCGCCGCGGUAACACCCGCAGCUCUAGUGGUGGUCACUUUUAUUGAGCCUAAAGCGUUCGUAGCCGGUUCUGUAAAUCUUCAGAUAAAUUCAUUCGCUCAACGGAUGAUCUUCUGAAGAGACUGUAGAACUUGGGACCGGGUGAGGUUGAAUGUACUUCCGGGGUAGGGGUAAAAUCCUGUAAUCCCGGAAGGACGACCAGUGGCGAAAGCGUUUAACUAGAACGAAUCUGACGGUGAGGAACGAAGGCUAGGGUAGCAAACCGGAUUAGAUACCCGGGUAGUCCUAGCUGUAAACAUUGCCCAUUUGAUGUUGCUUUUCCGUUGAGGGAAGGCAGUGUCGGAGCGAAGGUGUUAAAUGGGCCGCUUGGGAAGUAUGGUCGCAAGACUGAAACUUAAAGGAAUUGGCGGGGGAGCACCGCAACGGGAGGAAUGUGCGGUUUAAUUGGAUUCACCGCCGGGA